UUUUUUUUAGUUAGGCAUACACCCCUCCCCCUCCCAACAUACCAUAAUCAGGGGUAUCACUUUUGUGGUCAAGGUUUUGGCUUAUUGGUCAUCAAGAUGAACUAUGUGACCAAAUGAGAGCUCUAAUCUAAAUUUUGGUUUGCCAACAAUGGCCAUACCAGGGCCAGACACCAAGAAAAUAUCUAGACACAUCACCUUUUUCAUUAAGAAGGUAGGCUCAAAGACCAUAAAAAAAUUCGAACUGACAAGUGGAUAGCAAUGUUGGACUAAUACUUCAUUGAAGCUUGCACCACAACAGAAGAAAUGAAUAAAUAAAUGAUACUAACCAAUGCGGACACCACCCGGAGACAAUGCACUGCUGUCACUGAAGACAGCAUUCUUGUUCAAUGUGAUGAGGCAAAGAUCACAUAGCUUUUCAACCUUGUUUCCUGUGGAUAUAAGACAACAGUAAAACAAGUUAUAGUUUGGCCCCUUGAAAAUGAAGCCCAGUUAGAUGUUAAUUUGCAUACCAGUCAAGCCAAGGGGGCGGAGAUCCCAGAGAACAAGGUGGUUCUCAGUUCCAUCAGUCACCAUCUUGUAGCCCUUGCUCAUGAGAUAGUUUCCAAUUGCAACAGCAUUGGCCUUCACUUGCUUUGCAUAGGCCUUGUGAGAGCACCUAGAGGGGGGGGGGUGAAUAGGUGAUCCUGUAAAACUUCAAAUCUUAAGCCACCAAAAACUUGUUAAGUGUUAGCACAAUUAUGGCCAAGUGGCUAGAGAGGAGCCAAAACACAAUAACCACAAGAAAACAAUCACAGAGAUGACGCGGUGGUUAUCCCGUGGUUCGGCCAAGUACAAAACUUGCCUAGUCCACGUUGUGGCGUCCCAACGGACGAGAGUUGCACUCAACUCCUCUCAAGUGAUCCAAUGAUCAACUUGAAUACCACGGUGUUCUUGCUUUUCUUUUCUCAAUCCCGUUUGCGAGGAAUCUCCACAACUUGGAGCCUCUCGCCCUUACAAAAGAUGUUCACAGAGAAUCACGGAGCAAGGGAGGGAUUAGCAACUCACACACGACAAAAGAUCACCGCGAAUACGCACACACAAGACCCAGACUUGAGCUCAAGAGACUAGCACACUAGAACGGAGCUCAAAUCACUAGAAUGUCAAACAAGUGCGCAAGAUUGAUGUGUGAGUGAUCAAGAGUGCUCAAGGAAUGCUUGGUGUACUCCUCCAUGCGCCAAGGGGUCCCUUUUAUAGCCCCAAGGCAGCUAGGAGCCGUUGGGAACAAAUCUGGAAGGCCAUCUUUGCCUUCUGUCUCGUGGCGCACCGGACAGUCCGGUGCACACCGGACACUGUCCGGUGCCCGAUUUGUUUCCAUAAACAGCGCAUCCGACCGUUGCUGUCUGAGUCAGAUCUGCGCACCGUUGGCGCACCGGACAUGUCCGGUGCACACCGGACAGUCCGGUGUAUCUUUCCGACCGUUGGCUCGGCCACGUGUCGCGCACCGAUCGCGCGGCCGACCGUUGGCUCACCGGACAGUCCGGUGCACACCGGACAGUCCGGUGAAUUAUAGCCGUACGUCGCCGGUAAAUUCCCGAGAGCGACCUCUUCGGCCGAGGCGGCCUGGCGCACCGGACACUGUCCGGUGCACCACCGGACACUGUUCGGUGCACCACCGGACAGUCCGGUGCCCCAGACCGAAGCAGCCCCUUGGCUGUACACAGCCAAGUCUUCUCUUCUCUUCUUCUUUCUGUUUCUAACACUUAGACAAGAUAUUAGUACACAAAACCAAUGUACUAAGGCUUAGAAACAUACCUUAACUUGUGAUUUGCACUUUGUUCAUCCAUUGGCAUAUUUUCACAUUUAAGCACUUGUGUUUGCACUCAAUCACCAAAAUACUUAGAAAUGGCCCAAAGACACAUUUCCCUUUCAAUCUCCCCCUUUUUGGUGAUUUAUGCCAACACAACAUAAAGCAACUAGAACAAGUGCAAAAUCACUUCAAAUGAAAACUCAAAUUGGUUUUGAUUCAAUUUUGGCAUAUAUGGAUCAUCCUUUGCCACCACUUGGUUUGUUUUUGCAAAUCAAACUCAAAUCUCUAUUUCUAUGUCAAACACACAUGUUGAGGCAUAAAGAGAGUCAUUUCAAAAGAGAUUGAUCAAAGAUUUCAAAAACUCCCCUUAAAUCCCAUAAUCAAUACUUCUCCCCACAAGUAGCCAACUUUUGACAAAAGAGACAGUAAAAGCGUUUGACACAACAAAAACUCUAUUCUACUAUUUUCAAAAUCUCUCAAGUGGUAGCUGAUCCAUUUAUCGCUUUGGCCUUUAUUUUCUCCCCCUUUGGCAUCAAGCACCAAAACGGGAUCAAUCUUGGCCCUUUUAACCCCAUUGCCUCACCAAAAUCUUCAUUUAAGAUCAAAUGGCAAUAAGAGUUCAAGAGAUGGACUUGGAAUAAGUUACCCUCUCAUCGGAGUGCAGUGGAAGUCUUUCAUGGUCCAAGUCCACCUUUUCCCUUUCAAUUCUCCUUCGAGACUAAAUCAAGCAAACUCAAGCAAAUGGUUAGUCUCAAAGGGUCAAGUUGUAACACAUCUCCCCCUAAACAUGUGUAUCACUUUGCAACGGACUUGUGAGGUCCAGGGAGUGUUUGUACAACUGGAGCACCACAAUAAGCAACAAAAUGCAGAAUGAACCUGAUCAAAUGCAUAAACACAUGUAUGCUACAAUUCAAUCCAAGUUCCGCGAAUCUAAGACAUUUAGCUCACUACGCAACCUGCAAAAGGUCUUCUCAUCUAGAGGCUUAGUGAAGAUAUCGGCUAGCUGGUUCUCGGUGCUAACAUGAAACACUUCGAUAUCUCCCUUUUGCUGGUGGUCUCUCAAAAAGUGAUGCCGGAUGUCUAUGUGCUUUGUGCGGCUGUGCUCAACAGGAUUUUACGCCAUGCGGAUAGCACUCUCAUUAUCACAUAGGAGUGGGACUUUGCUCAGAUUGUAGCCAAAGUCCCGGAGGGUUUGCCUCAUCCAAAGUAGUUGCGCGCAACACUGUCCUGCGGCAACGUACUCGGCCUCAGCGGUGGAUAGGGCAACGGAGGUUUGUUUCUUAGAGUUCCAUGACACCAGGGACCUUCCUAAGAAUUGGCACGUCCCCGAUGUACUCUUCCUAUCGACCUUACAUCCAGCAUAGUCGGAGUCUGAGUAUCCAACUAAGUCAAAGGUAGACCCCUUUGGAUACCAGAGCCCGAAGCAAGGCGUAGCGACCAAAUAUCUAAGAAUUCGCUUCACCGCCACUAAGUGACACUCCUUAGGAUCGGAUUGAAAUCUAGCACACAUGCAUACGCUAAGCAUAAUAUCCGGUCUACUAGCACAUAGGUAAAGCAAAGAUCCUAUCAUUGACCGGUAUGCUUUUUGAUCAACGGACUUACCUCCUUUGUUGAGGUCGGUGUGUCCGUCGGUUCCCAUCGGCGUCUUUGCGGGCUUGGCGUCCUUCAUCCCAAACCGCUUUAGUAGAUCUUGCGUGUACUUCGUUUGGGAGAUGAAGGUGCCAUCCUUGAGUUGCUUCACUUGGAACCCAAGGAAGUAGUUCAACUCGCCCAUCAUCGACAUCUCGAAUUUCUGCGUCAUCACCCUGCUAAACUCUUCACAAGACUUUUGGUUAGUAGAACCAAAUAUUAUGUCAUCGACAUAAAUUUGGCACACAAACAAAUCACCGUCACAUGUCUUUGUGAAAAGAGUUGGAUCGGCUUUCCCAACCUUGAAAGCAUUAACAAUUAGAAAGUCUCUAAGGCAUUCAUACCAUGCUCUUGGGGCUUGCUUAAGUCCAUAGAGCGCCUUAGAGAGCUUACACACAUGGUCGGGGUACCGUUCAUCCUCGAAGCCAGGGGGUUGCUCUACGUACACCUCCUCCUUGAUUGGCCCGUUGAGGAAAGCGCUCUUCACAUCCAUUUGGUACAACCUGAAAGAAUGGUGAGCGGCAUAUGCUAGCAAGAUACGAAUUGACUCUAGCCUAGCCACAGGAGCAAAAGUCUCCUCAAAGUCCAAACCUGCGACUUGGGCAUAACCUUUUGCCACAAGUCGAGCCUUGUUCCUCGUCACCACCCCGUGCUCGUCCUGUUUGUUGCGGAACACCCACUUGGUCCCCACAACAUUUUGCUUCGGACGAGGCACCAGUGUCCAAACGUCAUUGCGCUUGAAGUUGUUAAGCUCCUCCUGCAUGGCCAAUACCCAGUCCGGAUCUAGCAAGGCCUCCUCUACCCUGAAAGGCUCAAUAGAAGAGACAAAAGAGUAAUGCUCACAAAAAUUAACUAAUCGAGAUCGAGUAGUUACUCCCUUGCUAAUAUCACCCAGAAUUUGGUCGACGGGAUGAUCCCUUUGAAUCAUCGCUCGAACUUGGGUUGGAGGUGCCGGUUGCGCUUCUUCCUCCAUCACUCGAUCACCUUGUGCUCCCCCUUGAUCAAUCGCCUCCACUUGAGGUACCUGUACGUCACCUUCGGUUGGGGGAUUCACCAUAGUUGAGGAAGAAGGUUGAUCUCGUUCAUCUUGUUCCUGUGGCCGCACUUCUCCAAUCGCCAUGGUUCGUAUGGCGGUCGUCGGAACAUCUUCUUCAUCUACAUCAUCACAAUCAACAACUUGCUCUCUUGGAGAGCCAUUAGUUUCAUCAAAUACAACGUCGCUAGAGACUUCAACCAAACCCGAUGAUUUGUUGAAGACUCUAUACGCCUUUGUAUUUGAGUCAUAACCUAACAAAAACCCUUCUACUGCUUUGGGAGCAAAUUUAGAAUUCCUACCCUUCUUCACUAGAAUGUAGCACUUGCUCCCAAAUACACGAAAGUAGGAUACAUUGGGUUUGUUACCGGUUAGUAGCUCAUACGACGUCUUCUUGAGGAGGCGAUGAAGGUAGACCCUGUUGAUGGCGUGGCAAGCCGUGUUUAUGGCUUCCGUCCAAAAGUACUCGGGGGUCUUGAACUCUCCUAGCAUCGUCCUCGCCAUGUCGAUGAGCGUCCUGUUCUUCCUCUCUACCACACCAUUUUGCUGUGGUGUGUAGGGAGCGGAGAACUCAUGCUUGAUCCCUUCUUCUUCAAGGAAUUCCUCCACUUGAAGAUUCUUGAACUCGGACCCGUUGUCGCUCCUUAUCUUCUUCACCUUGAGCUCAAACUCAUUUUGAGCUCUCCUGAGGAAGCGCUUGAGGGUCCCUUGGGUUUCAGACUUAUCCUGCAAAAAGAACACCCAAGUGAAGCGGGAAAAGUCAUCAACAAUAACUAGACCAUACUUACUCCCUCCUAUGCUCAGAUAGGCGACGGGUCCGAAGAGAUCCAUAUGCAGCAACUCCAGAGGUCUUGAAGUGGUCAUCACAUUCUUGCUGUGAUGCGCUCCUCCCACCUGUUUACCUGCUUGACAAGCUGCACAAGGUCUAUCUUUUUCGAAUUGCACGUUAGUCAAACCUAUCACGUGUUCUCCCUUUAGAAGCUUGUGAAGGUUCUUCAUCCCCACAUGUGCUAAGCGGCGAUGCCACAGCCAGCCCAUGCUAGUCUUAGCUAUUAAGCAUGCAUCUAGACCGGCCUCUUCUUUUGCAAAAUCAACUAAAUAAAGUUUGCCGUCUAAUACACCCUUAAAAGCUAGUGAACCAUCACUUCUUCUAAAGACAGACACAUCUAUAUCUGUAAAUAGACAGUUAUACCCCAUAUGACAUAAUUGACUAACAGAUAAUAAAUUAUAUCCCAAAGACUCAACUAAAAACACAUUAGAAAUUGAGUGCUCAUUAGAGAUUGCAAUUUUACCUAACCCUUUUACCUUGCCUUGAUUCCCAUCACCGAAUAUGAUUGAAUCUUGGGAAUCCUUAUUCUUGACGUAGGAGGUGAACAUCUUCUUCUCCCCCGUCAUAUGGUUUGUGCAUCCGCUGUCGAUAAUCCAGCUUGAACCCCCGGAUGCAUAAACCUGCAAGGCAAAUUUAGGCUUGGGACUUAGGUACCCAACUUAUGUUGGGUCCUACAAGGUUAGUGCAAAUAUCCUUAGGGACCCAAAUGCAAGUUUUGUCACCCUUGCAUUUUGCCCCUAGCUUUCUAGCAACAAUUUUCUUAUCCUUUCUACAAAUUGCAAAGGAAGCAUUCAAAGCACAAUAAAUUGUAGAAGGUUCAUUCACUACUUUCCUAACAACAUUUUUCCUAGGCAUUUGAUGAACAACAUUUCUUCUAAGCACAUUUCUACCAUGAAUAACAUGAGAACUAGAAGCAGUCAUAGCAUAAGAGUCAUAAGCAUGUGAAUCAAAAACAUCAUGACCUCUAAAAGCAUUUCUAGAAUAUCUCCUAUCAUAGUACAUGAAAGCAUGAUUCUUCUUAACACUAUUAGCCAUAGGAGCCUUCCCUUUCUCCUUGGUGGAGAUGGGAGUCUUAUGGCUUGUUAAGUUCUUGGCUUCCCUCUUGAAGCCAAGCCCAUCCUUAAUUGAGGGGUGUCUACCAACCGUGUAGGCAUCCCUAGCAAAUUUUAGUUUAUCAAAAUUACUUUUGCUAGUCUUAAGUUGAGCAUUAAGACUAGCUAAUUCAUCAUUAAGCUUGGAAAUUGAAACUAGGUGUUCACUACAAGCAUCAAUGUCUAUAUCCUUACACCUAGUGCAAAUUUCAACAUUUUCAACACAAGAGUUGGAUUUAUUUGCUUCUACUAGUUUAGCAUUUAAAUCAUCGUUUAUGCUCUUUAAGUUAGAAAUAGAAUCAUGGCAUGUUGACACUUCACAAGCAAGCAUUUCAUUUCUCUUAAUUUCUAAUGCAAGGGAUUUUUGAGCCUCUACAAACUUAUCAUGUUCUUCAUAUAACAAAUCCUCUUGCUUUUCUAAAAGUAUAUUCUUUUCAUUCAAGGCAUCAAUUAAUUCAUUAAUUUUGUCUAUCUUAGAUCUAUCUAAGCCCUUGAACAAACAUGAAUAAUCUACUUCAUCCUCAUCACUAGAUUCGUUCUCACUUGAAGAAGCAUAGGUAGUGUUGCGAGUACAUACCUUCUUCUCCCUUGCCAUAAGGCAUGUGUGACGCUCGUUGGGGAAGAGGGUUGAUUUGUUGAAGGCGGUAGCGGCGAGUCCUUCGUUGUCGGAGUCGGACGAGGAGCAGUCCGAGUCCCACUCCUUGCCUAGAUGCGCCUCGCCCUUUGCCUUCUUGUAAUUCUUCUUCUUUUCCCUCUUGUUUCCCUGUUCCUGGUCACUAUCAUUAUCGGGGCAGUUAGCGAUAAAAUGACCAAUCUUACCGCACUUGAAGCAUGAGCGCUUCCCCUUUGUCUUGGUCUUGCUUGGCUGCCCCUUGUGACCUUUUAGUACCGUCUUGAAUCUCUUGAUGAUGAGAGCCAUCUCUUCAUCAUUGAGCCCGGCCGCCUCAACUUGCGCCACCUUGCUAGGUAGCGACUCCUUGCUCCUUGUUGCCUUUAGAGCAAUGGGUUGAGGCUCGUGGAGUGGACCGUUCAACGCGUCGUCGACAUAUCUUGCCUCCUUGAUCAUCAUCCGCCCGCUCACGAAUUUUCCAAGUACUUCCUCGGGCGUCAUCAUCGUGUACCUGGGAUUCUCACGAAUAUUGUUCACGAGAUGAGGAUCAAGAACGGUAAAUGACCUGAGCAUUAGGCGGACGACGUCGUGAUCCGUCCAACGCGUGCUCCCGUAGCUCCUUAUUUUGUUGAUAAGAGUCUUGAGCCGGUUGUAAGUUUGAGUUGGCUCCUCUCCCCUUAUCAUGGCGAAUCGUCCAAGCUCGCCUUCCACCAACUCCAUCUUGGUGAGCAUGGUGAUGUCGUUCCCCUCGUGAGAGAUCUUGAGGGUGUCCCAUAUCUGCUUGGCAUUGUCCAAGCCGCUCACCUUAUUGUACUCUUCCCUGCACAAAGAAGCUAAGAGAACAGUAGUAGCUUGUGCAUUUCUAUGAAUUUGUUCAUUUAUAAGCAUAGGGCUAUCCGAGCUAUCAAAUUUCAUUCCAUUUUCCACAAUCUCCCAUAUGCUUGGAUGGAGAGAGAAUAAGUGACUACGCAUUUUGUGACUCCAAAAUCCGUAGUCCUCCCCAUCGAAGUGUGGAGGUUUGCCAAGAGGAAUGGAAAGCAAAUGCGAAUUCGAACUAUGUUGAAUACGAGAAUAAUCAAAUGAAAAGUUCGAAUUGACCGUCUUUUUGUAGUCGUUGUCAUCAUCCUUUUGGGAAGAAGUAGACUCAUCACUAUCGUCGUAGUAUAUGAUCUCCUUGAUGCGCCUUGUCUUCUUCUUCUUUCCUUCCUUCUGUCUAUGACCCGAGCCAGAGUCGUUAGGCUUGUCAUCUUUGGGCUCGUUGACGAAAGACUCCUUCUCUUUAUCGUUGAUCACGAUUCCCUUCCCCUUAGGAUCCAUCUCUUCGGGCGAUUAGUCCCUUUCUUGAAGAGAACGGCUCCGAUACCAAUUGAGAGCACCUAGAGGGGGGGUGAAUAGGUGAUCCUGUAAAACUUCAAAUCUUAAGCCACCAAAAACUUGUUAAGUGUUAGCACAAUUAUGGCCAAGUGGCUAGAGAGGAGCCAAAACACAAUAACCACAAGAAAACAAUCACAGAGAUGACGCGGUGGUUAUCCCGUGGUUCGACCAAGUACAAAACUUGCCUAGUCCACGUUGUGGCGUCCCAACGGACGAGAGUUGCACUCAACUCCUCUCAAGUGAUCCAAUGAUCAACUUGAAUACCACGGUGUUCUUGCUUUUCUUUUCUCAAUCCCGUUUGCGAGGAAUCUCCACAACUUGGAGCCUCUCGCCCUUACAAAAGAUGUUCACAGAGAAUCACGGAGCAAGGGAGGGAUUAGCAACUCACACACGACAAAAGAUCACCGCGAAUACGCACACACAAGACCCAGACUUGAGCUCAAGAGACUAGCACACUAGAACGGAGCUCAAAUCACUAGAAUGUCAAACAAGUGCGCAAGAUUGAUGUGUGAGUGAUCAAGAGUGCUCAAGGAAUGCUUGGUGUACUCCUCCAUGCGCCAAGGGGUCCCUUUUAUAGCCCCAAGGCAGCUAGGAGCCGUUGGGAACAAAUCUGGAAGGCCAUCUUUGCCUUCUGUCUCGUGGCGCACCGGACAGUCCGGUGCACACCGGACACUGUCCGGUGCCCGAUUUGUUUCCAUAAACAGCGCAUCCGACCGUUGCUGUCUGAGUCAGAUCUGCGCACCGUUGGCGCACCGGACAUGUCCGGUGCACACCGGACAGUCCGGUGUAUCUUUCCGACCGUUGGCUCGGCCACGUGUCGCGCACCGAUCGCGCGGCCGACCGUUGGCCCGGCCGACCGUUGGCUCACCGGACAGUCCGGUGCACACCGGACAGUCCGGUGAAUUAUAGCCGUACGUCGCCGGUAAAUUCCCGAGAGCGGCCUCUUCGGCCGAGGCGGCCUGGCGCACCGGACACUGUCCGGUGCACCACCGGACAGUCCGGUGCCCCAGACCGAAGCAGCCCCUUGGCUGUACACAGCCAAGUCUUCUCUUCUCUUCUUCUUUCUGUUUCUAACACUUAGACAAGAUAUUAGUACACAAAACCAAUGUACUAAGGCUUAGAAACAUACCUUAACUUGUGAUUUGCACUUUGUUCAUCCAUUGGCAUAUUUUCACAUUUAAGCACUUGUGUUUGCACUCAAUCACCAAAAUACUUAGAAAUGGCCCAAAGACACAUUUCCCUUUCACCUUGAAGCCAGGCGACAUAGUUUGCUGUAGAGCAACAACAAGUGCAGCAAUCUGGUGGUUGUGAGGGCCACCUUGAAGAGAUGGGAACACUACAAAGUUGAUAUUGUCUUCAUAAUCAUAAACAGCACCCUCAGGCUGGCCCUUCUUGGGGGGCUUAGGGCCUUUCCUGUAGAAGAUCAUGCCAGCCCUUGGCCCUCUGAGGGACUUGUGCGUGGUUGUGGUAACCACAUCACAAUAUUCAAAAGGAUUUGCAGCUUCCUGAAAUGGAGUAAGGCAAAUAGUGAGAUUUUUUAACACGGAUUAUUCAACUAACUAAACAUUUGCAAUGAAUAGUCUCUUCAGAUCUCCUCCGGACUCCAGAGCUCAAAAAAACAAAUAAUAUCACCUUCUGUACUAUGGCCCUAGAAUAAUACAUUAUCUAAGUGCCUCCCGACUCCAGUACACACUCCAGUACCCAAAGGACGAUACAAAAGAAUUAGCGAAAUCGUGUCACUUCUGUACUAUGACCCUAAAAUAAUGCAGUAGCUCAGUCUACACACCAAAGUUGAGUUAGAAAUAUGUAUGUCUCAUAUUACAGCAUAUUGCUUAUUAGAUUCCACUAUGGAUUGCCUAUAUAUGCAUGAUCAUUGCAUAACAGAAGUGGGCGCUACUGUGACGUUAACACACAUGGACCCAAAUUUGAUAAGCAAUAAUGUACACAAAGAUGCGCAAUGUGAUUUGCUAAAGCACACUAAGCACGAGUUCUCUUAUAUAUUGUCGUCAAAGAGUAAAAAUUGUUAAGACCUCGUGCAAAGGUUUCAAUUGGUACGGUGACUAUCUGAGUACACAGGUUCAUAUCCAUUGAGAAUAAUCCAAAACACCAAAAUAAAUGGAACAACAGAUCUAUCACCAUCAAAGGAAUAUAUUUUUACACGAACUAAAGCAAGCCAAAAAUAUCCAUUUCCAUGACUGCAAGCCACAUUUUGGUAUACAAAACAAGGCAAUGGUAAAAAACGACAGACAGCAAGCAUCCAUAUAAAAUGUUCCUAAAUCAGUAAACUUGCAAAACACUCAGAUCUAUAAUAUGUGAUUAAACAAUCCAAGGUGAUGCACAAAACGACAGACAGACAGACAACAUCCAUAUAAAUAUUCCUAAACACUCAGAUCUAUAAUAUGCAAGGCCAGAUUUUUUUGAAUUAAAAUCUAACACCAUAACUCGGAAUGGCCCUAGUUUGAAUGGUAUUAAUAUACUUAUACAUACAAUUCGUAGUUUUAUUAUUAUGAAAAUAGAUGCAAGCUUCUUCUGGUCAAAACAUUUGUAGAAUACUUUUUUGUUGGUAAAUUUCAUCCGUGAUCAUAGGCAAUACACUCAAUAUGAACCAAACACAAGUUACCUUUCCAAAACAUAUAUAAUACCUCCUGCAGUCAAGGUAUAGUUUUGACAAUAUAGCAGUCUAAAAUAACAAUGCAGCAGUAUCAGCAUGACAGCACAGAGAUUAGUGUAUAGAUGUCUUGUAUAACAUAUUGUCACUGAGCAAAACCCCUUAUUUACCAUAGCAGAUAGCAGCGCUAUGGAAUUAAUGUUGCAGUCAAGCUAAAAUUUCCUGAUGGGGCCUAUUCCAAAUUGCGAGAUAUUCAAUUUAUUUACGGCUAAGCUCAAUUGACUAGCUUGUGUGCACUUCUCCUCUCUUGGUUGCCUGUUGCAUGCUGCCUUUUCUACCGGUCACCUAUACAUGUUUGAUUUCAUUUUCUGUAACUCCUUUUCUAUUCAUUCUUUUUUAAAUAAAAUGAACAGUAGGGGCCUCCCCUACUGUAUUUCUCCUAAAAAAGAACUAGAAGCAGGUUAUGUUAAUUUGUCCCCACACAAAACAAGCACCAUCAGUAAACUAGAAAUUAAAUCACCUUCUUAUCAUCCACAAUUCCAUCUGAAAGUACUUCUGUAGCAUAGGCCUUAUAGAGUAUCUUGAGAUCAUCAGUUGUGCUUCAGUAGAGGUAUUAGAUGAUGUUGCUUUCUGUGACCUAGGAGGAUCAGGAAGUUUGAUGGGCAGAAACACCUUGUUACUAUUUAUUUCUUUGGAAGCUUGUGCUGCAGAAGAAGCUGAUGAAAUCACAACCUUCUGAUUAUUUUCUGACUUUCCAUCAGUUUUCAAGAGAUCGUCUGGACACAGAUGGCUUCUAAGGUCGACCUUUUCUCUCGCCAUUGUAGAAUUAUUAUUUUGGUCUACUGUACUACUCACUGGAUGUCCAUCCAAAUUGUUUUGAUUUUCUGAGAGACUUUCUUUGGUGCGCUUUAGAUCGUGAUUAUCUUCAUAAGUUCCGACAUAUGCACUUCUUAAAACUCCUGGAGAUGAAUCUGCAUUGCUAUUUCCAUAAGAGUCCUGAUUACCCUGGAUCUUUCAGAUGUUUAACGGGUUAAAAAAGUUCUGGGCAGUGAAGAGAUUGUGGAUGCUAGUUUACUGCAUAGAUGUCUAUCGGUGAUCAGUGAUCAUGAAUUCAGAUAGCUACCUUUGCUUGCGCUAAAUGUUCGCCAAUUCUUUGGUCUGAAUAUCUCCGUUCAACAUAUACAUUCUUGAUGAAAUUUUUGAGUCUAUGUACACCACUAUAAGUGAAAACAAAGCAAUCAAACAUCAAGUGUGCAACUACAAUAUGCUUGAAAAAUAAAUAACAGGAAUAGAUGACUAACCUACUGUCAAUAACAGGGCCUUGCAAGUCCCAAUGCUUGAAAUAGAUUUCCUUAGCAGCUGGAAGAAAGAGAAUAUUAGGUAACUAUAAAGAUCACACAGACCUUUCUAAAUUAUUAAUAAAAUAUUAGGCGAACCUCAUUGCCCCCUUCCUGAAGUGCCGAAACUUCUUGGGAAGUGAAUUUAGCCAUUGAUACUGAUUUUACACGAUGACUGAACUCUCGGCUGUAAAAUGUCACGAUUCAGAAAUGGGCAAGCACAGGCACUGGUUCAGAAGUUUAUAUAACUUAUAGGGAGGAGUUCACAACUGUAAUAGCCAAACAAGAAACAUUGCUGCACUUUUAAUAAAGAGAAAAACAACAAUAUGAUCACCACUUACUGUAUCCCGCUGCAAUUAGUACAGAUGAAAGUAGAGAAGCUUGUGCAUACAUAUUGUGGCCCCUGUUAAUGAAGAGUACUUUUUGGUUACUUAACAAAGAAAUAUACAUCAUGUGUUUUCAUAUCACGGAUAAAUGUGUAUACAGGUUAGGGGUUCCUCACCCGAAUACGUAUAUUUCGGGUGGGGCCACAAUAUGUAUAUUUCUUCGUCUGCUCUAUGUCUUUACGUGCGCGGGGGGAGGGGACGGGUCCGAGAUCCAGCUCCAGGUCCAGCCGCCGUACCUGAUCCGACGCGGGCCACUGCGCGAUCCGGCGUGGCGUCCUUGCAGGCGCCUGCGACGGCGAGCUUCCUGGGCUCCUCGUCCUGCGCCGCCGACCCAAAGCAGACAAAGCAGCUCAUCGCCGGCGACGAAGACGGCUCCCGGAGAGACCGACGGUGAGGAAGCGGCCGACGAGGCGGGAGCGGGGAGCUCCUCUCCCGAUCUGCGGCACGGGAGCGAAGCUUCUUCCCCGACCGACGUCGCGACUGGAAGCGAAACGGGCUAUUGGCCCAAUUGGGGAGGGGAGGAGGAUUUGGGGAAGGGGGGAGGGAGGCGUGGUGCCGUGGAGUGGGGUGAAAGCUACAGCUACAACAAGGAGGAGGGGAAUAUGAGGUUUGGCGGCGGCGCGCGGUGGAGGAGCUGUGGCGGCGGGCGCGUGGGUUGGCGGCGGCGCUGUGGAGGAGCGGGGACUAGCGGCGCGCACGUAGGCGGGAUUGAAGAGAGACGCACGGGUCGCUAGGGAUUUAGUUUGGGUUAAGUUCGACGGUGUUGACGUGGCCCAUGAACUUAAAUUAAGAACGUGGGUACCCACGAUUUUAAUACUAUAAGUUCGACGGCUUUAUCUAGAACGCACGAAUUUAAACUAAGAACGUGGGUACUCACAUUCUUCAACAAACCCAUGAACUUAACUCAAAUAAGAACGUGGGUACCCACGUUCUUAAUUUAACCCACGAACAUUUAUUAGUUUCUUGUAGUGUCGGCUAGGACUUGAUUAUUAAUUUUAUUUAAACAUAUCCCGUGUGCGCUAGCAAUUAGUACUAUUGUAGCUAUGAUUACGUUUUUAUUUAUAUAUGGUCGGUACGUUCUACUCAAGGCCGCACAAUGUUUUGGGACGUCGUAAUACUCAAUAUUUUCAUUUCUAAGUGCAAGCAGUUCUAGGAAUCUUAACGCAGCUUAAGCAGGAGUGGAAAACGUGCGUCAUGUCCCUUGAACUACCGUUUGGAUUCAAUUAUGGCCAACUUUGGUGCUAAUCCAUGCUUUGAUUAAACCUAGAUUUGCUGAUCAAAGAAAUCCUCGUGGAUCAAUUAAUUCUUUGUGGUGUUGUGCAUUUUCAAUUAUUUCUGGCAGCGUGGAAUUAAGUCGUAGAUUUUUUUUUGCUCCUUCCAGUGCGUUUAAAAGAUUCCUACAGGUGAAACACAGUGUAACCAUCAAUAUAAAGAGUCGCAUAGAUCGACAAUAUAUGAUAGAUAUAAUAAAGAGGAAUGCUAUUUUUACUGACUUGAUUAGAAGUGUCAUUUUCUUAAAAUAAUUGUAGGUAAAAAAUUCUUACAUUGGGGCGUAGAAAUUGUGACACAAUGGGAUAAAAUGAAUACCAAUUUAGGACGGGGUAAGUAUCUAUUUAGAGAGACAUCAUGUUUGAAGAGGCACCUAUUUCUCAACACCUCUUGAUCAAAUCUUAAUUUGAGAUCAUCACAAUAAAAAAUAUGCAGCUGAAAUUUCUCAGAAAAUCCAAUAGGGAAAGUUUGUGGAGUACACUGAUAUGCUAUUUGAACUCCUAAACCCAAUGGGAAAAUGAGAAAAAUGCUAGGUCAUAUGUAUGUCAUUGCUCAAUUUACGCUUAUAUAGGUACCCUUUUAUGAAAGGGAAACCUUAAACGAGUUUAACGAGCAAUAAAUGUUAUUUGUAAAGCGCCAUGUCUUUGGUAUCCCAUUAAAAAACCUCUAUGGGACAAAUUGGAGAUACGUCGUCCUCAAACCUUCCGAAAAUAUGAGUGAUCUAUGGAUAUAUGGUUAAAAACUCUAUGUAAAACCCAAUCGGAAAGUUAGGAGAAACUGAUGCAACAUAUCUCUGUUACUGCCUCAUUAUAAACUCAUAUGAGAAAACCUUGAAGGACAGUUGUUAAUUUCAUGUUAGCCACCCAUAUAUAAGAAAGAGAUCUCCCUUGAAAUUAGUUUUUAGUGGUGUGGUUCGGAAGCCACAGUGAAGCCAGUCGUUCUUAUUAGAGACGAUUUCCUAUAUGAUUAUUCACUCUUACAAAAAUGGAAAAAACAAUUGUAAAAAAUCAUUUGUAUUUGUAUAGUAGCGAUAUUUCUUGGAGUUUGAGCUAUAUCAAAUAUGACAUAUCACAGGUGCAUUAUAGUGUAAUAAUAUAUAUUCACUAGGUGGAUGCCCGUGCGUUGCUACGGAGUCAACAUAUAAUGAUAAGAUACGUUGAGAUUAGGUGGAUGCCCGUGCAUUGUUACAGAGUCAACAUAUAAUGAUAAGAUACGUUGAGAUGUAGAAGCACUAUAAUAAAAUAUAUUGAUAAAAUACAUUGUUGGAACUUAGAAACUCAAUGGUAUCUGGGGUUCACUUGAUGAUAUAAAUUUUUAGCCAUAAUCAUCUCAUGUUGUUAAUGAUCAGUAAUGUGAGCAAUAGGAUCUGUAUUGAAGGUAAAAAAUGUUUCUAUCAAGGCAUACCCAUCCUAUGUAAUUAUAGCUGUCAAAAAAGGAGUACAAUUUAAUCUCAUUAGUCAUAUAACUGAAAAACAAGAGGCAGACUAAUCUUUUAUUGUGUAGAUUCAAAAAAAACUAUGUAAACGAAUACCUAUGUAAUCCCACAACAUAUAUACACAGUAGAAAGAAAUAUAAACUAAGCUCAUGAAGCAUAGGAAGAACCAUUCUUUGAGGGGUAGCAACAAGGGGAACUAAAUUCUGGAUCCGAGCAGUUGUGAAAAUACAAUAUUAAGAACUUGGGGGUGUGGCGGGAGGUUGAGAGCUCAAAGCUAUCACUUCAAUUCAGGAGACACAAACACACUUAUGGUGUAGCGUUAGCUGCUGCUCACUUUUGCCUAAGGGGUGCGGGAUCGAAUUCCCUCGCAUCCUGCUUUUUUAGUUUUUGGCUGGGCGUGGGACGUCUGCGCGGGAGGCAGAAUGGAGAGGUAGCCUACCCCUUAGGUUCUUCAUAGUAGCAUAGCUCUGGCCUUGACAAACAAACAUUGUGGUCAGAAUCAUCUGUUAUGGAUUCCUGAAAAAAGAAUCAUCUGUUGUGAACAAAUUAUGAUAUAGUGAUGCUUGGCAGCUUCACAAGAAGGUCGAAAACAAGUCAAGGACCUAAACCAGGAUAGCAUAUUAAUAUUGAACCAAAUGUGAAAUCUAAUUACAUAAUCAUACUUUCAAUAACCAAUCAAACUAUAAAAUUGGAGGAAUCUUGGUGUGUACAUUAUACACAUGACACAUACAGGUAGUUUUAUCCCAAAAAAAAUGAAAAGACAACAUCUGCAGCUACCUCCCGUUGGGCUCAGGAAAUGUCUCGGAUAUAGCUGAACACAACAUUUAUCCUAGCAUCCUUAGUCUCUAGGCCUAAGCAAGUCAAACAAGGUACGAACAGUAAACCACGCAGUAAACAUUGAAAGAAAAUGAAUGCAUUAAUAGUCUUGGGCUCUUGGAUACAUACAUAAUAAUCAUUUGAAUUAUUAAGAUGCAACACCACUACUAAAGCUUUACUCAAACAAAUUUCAUAAGCCUUAGAUGAACCCAACAUGAUCCACCAACAAAGAGAAAUUCUUAUAUGCAAAUUCUGCUAGUUAUAUUUGGCUAACGACCGGAUACCCAAGUCCUACAAAUAUGUGUGAAGCUGGACGACCACACCUGUGUUGGGUUCCAAACGACAUCCGGUGUGUACUAAACAAAUUUGAUGCUUCCAUCAGCCACACCCAAGUUGGACUCUGAAGAGAUCUGCCUUAUGAUCUCUAUGUUUGUACCCAAAAAAACACACGUAGUGCUCCCUUUAUCAUUAAUUUUUAUGAAUUACAGGUGUGGUAUUUUGUAUGAACUACUCCCUGCAGUCACAAGAGCACCGUUUUGACAUGAACUUUGACUGUUAUUUCUAUUGCAGUAUGUUUACAAACCAUAGCAAAAAUAUAUAUUAAGAAUUUUUAGACAAACAUACAUGCACCCUACCAAAUGUUUAACCUUAACAAGCACAAAGUAAUUGAUUACUAAAGUUUUUUUAGGCUGACCGCAAACAACCAAAUCAUCACUUGUAUGGCUGUUUACCUCUUUACAGUACAAAACAAGAUAAUUCCUAUACAAUCAGCAGCCACAACACACCAUCCAUAAGGAGAUUUAAGGCAUAUAAUACUCGCAUCACAUCACAAAAUAUAUAAAUAAUCAAGUAUAAAUGACUUAAAUUAAUUAUAAACUUAUAAUACUUGCGAAAUGCUUUCAAUAAUGUUGUCCAGCAAGAACCAGGAGCAUAGGGUGAUGGCAGCUCUCAUAGAGCAUGUUGAAGAGGCAUCCCAAACAAUACAGUUAGUGAGAAACAAACAUCAAUUAUUCAUGAUAUAUAGAGCAUAAAAAAUAUGAAACUGCAAUUGUAUGGGUACCUUUACACAGUCACCAACACUAUGAGCAUCUUCAUCUACUGGAAACUCGGUCCUUCCUGGUAAGGAAAUGAAAUGAUACGUAGACUAAUCAACAAAAUGAGGCCAUACUAACACAAGAAUGGAGUUAAAAAAAUAUAACCUGAGUUCUUAGCAUCACUGUCAGAAUUGGUAGGAUCUUCCUGUACAUGAAGUGCAAAGUCCUACAAAAUUGUGUGAAGCUGGAGACCCACAGGCUAUAUUUUCUCUUGUAUGAUAUAUAAAAACCAUAGCAACGCACGGGCAUCUACUUGUAUGAUUUUUUUUGUAAAUAUGCAUCAAGGGCAUGUUACAUUGGUACAUGCGAGAGUGGACUCAAUGAUGGGCAUGGUAUGUUUUAUCAACCAAGAAGUAAAUGCCUUGUAAUAUCAACCAGGAAGUAAAAUGCCUUGUAACCUUGAAGUGUCUAAGUGUGUAACAGACCAUGAUGUUUCAAGUACCCUCGGCAAAACAAUUUGUCACAAGAUUCAUCUAGCUUACUCUUGGCAGCUGGUGUAGAGGCCAAGCUAAUGGAGGUUGAUAAAGUAUUGUUCUAUGGAAGAGAAUAUGUAUAGGGAAUAAUUAUCUCGGAGAAGCCAAAACACAAUAUAGUUGUUGCCUGUGACCGAAUGGCCAAAACACCUCAAGUCAAAAUGGCCAAAACACUACAUGAUAGAAUGGCAAAAACACUCUGUGUGAACAGGUCUGCAUCCACAAGUUAAGUGCCCAUGCAUUACUACAACUUCUUUUCCCCUAUUUUUUAAAUCUUAUAUUAUGUUUGAGUAUAUAUUAUAAAACAUAAAAAAUAUGUAUGUUCUGCUGGCUAGGUGGGUGUGAAUCUAUUUGGAGCCAACGAUCGUGGUUUUAAAUCUUCACUUGUGUACAAUUUUAAUUUAUUUUUACCGUUUAAGCAGGGAGUGGAGAGGGGUAACCACGAAUGGAGUGGAGAAAGUCUCGCUUUUAUAUUAGUAUAGAUUUAAUGAAUAUAUGUGGGAAAAAGGAAAACAUGGAGAAUAGAACUCCAUGUUUCUACCAUACAAGAAAAACAAGACAUGUGAUGUGAGCUAUACACAUGUUCAAGUAAUUUAGCUAUCCUUGCAAAAAAGAAACAAAGCAAAACUACAAUAGCUUUUUUGCUGCAUAAAUGUGUGUUAUUCAGAAUUAAACUACUGAACUCGCAUGUUGAUCAUCAAUAAUUCUGCAGUGCUACAAUACGAUGGGAUGAAAGAACAUCCAUGCUGCUUGUAAUAUAAGACAAGCAAAUAGUGAAAACCACCGAAAAACGCACCAUUCGCCUCACAAUAAUGUGGAAAUUGCAUAAUGCUACUUACCCAUGUAGUCUGACUCCUCAUUGUGCUGUUGUACAUCAUGAUCACUCCUGCAUGGUAAAUUUCCUUCGAGAUUAUGGUUAUUAUUAUGUUCUGCUAGUACCUCAACCUUCAAAACACUAUAAGGCCACUUGUUUAGUUGAAAACCAAAUGAUUUUGCACCUAAGUAAACUAAAUUUUGCUUACUUGUAGUACACGCACACAUGGAUGCAUGUAUAUAUGUUUGUCAUAUGAAACAAAAAACAUCACAAGUAAAUUUCAAGAACUACAGACUGUUCUCAUAUAAUAUCUCCACGGCUGCUUAAAAAAUGACACUCUUGAAAAGCUGGGAGCAAAGCAACCAGUAUAAAAUUUGAGCUUUUAAACUCCUAGUGCUGUCACACAACACUCUUGAAAUAACUAUAAGCUAACGAUAACCAAUUUUGUAGUCAAAUUCAACUUUGUUUAUAUGAAAUUUACAGUUCAUGGAGAAAGAGUGAAGCAAAAGGAGCUACAUAUCACUCUAGUAACAACAGCAAGAAAAACACUUACUUUAGCUUAAAUUUGUCCACUAAAGCAAUAGCAAUGCAGUGCCCAGAUAACAGUAGAAAACCAAUGCCAUAUGCGGAGAUGGACCUGCACUAUGAGAAGUCAUAAAUUGGGAAAAAGUUAGCUUGGAAACCAAUAGGUGCAGUUGCCGGGGUUGGAGCCAGAAAUGAGGAGCAAGAAAUGAUUGAUGGGUUUCUCACCAUUAGCAGGGAGAUGCAGUUGCCGGGGUUGGAGCCAUUGGGAAUGCGCGACACCUCUUGAACCUGAUUGUCAUGUGACAGGACGUCCCACUGCGGCCACAGCAAUAGCAAAGCAACCAUUCAAGGCGUGAGCAUUAAAUGACGAGCGUGAUGUGGCCGCGGGUGGUGACCGUCCAGACUCUAUGGUCCGAAUGAGCGGCAGCGUGUACCUGGAAGCACGCAUUCUUGUCGUGGCCAAAGGCGAAGACAUGGUCGCCGGAACGGGCAGCCAGAUGGAGGUGGCGGCGCCGAGGACAACAUCGUUGGGCUGUCCUAAGUCAGCGAACAAAUUGAAUCUGCAAUUUUAGUAAUAUAUAUGCAAUAACCAUCGUAUGAAAAAACUGAAUUUUACACAAAGUCGUUAUACAGUUUCGUCAUCACAGCUUCCCUGGACCUAAAAAACAAUGACACCAGAGCACCGGGAUUGAUCAAGUACCCCAGAUUUGGCAGAGCAAAGGCAGCAGAAGCAAAAAUUCCAAGGAAACAUCGAGGCACCUAUUGCGAACCAAAACCAAGGAAGCAAAUAUCUCUGCCUCCAUCUACGGUGGACCAUCCUCUAUAGCCCCAUUGUGUAUCUCCGCCUUCCUCUCCUACAAACCAAAACCAGGGAAGCUAAUAAUUAUAUGAUUCUUUAAGACGGCAAACCAAAACCAUCACCAACCAAUGCUGAGCUCAGCAACGUAUUCGAAGACACGAGGCAUGCAGAAGCCAACACACCAUCUGCUCAAACUGCUCAAAGACAGUGAGGUCCGCGCCGCCGUUAGCGUGGGCAGUGGUGGGGGGCUGUCGUCGCCAUCGCCAAUCGAAGUGGUGAGGGACGUCGACGAUGUCUUCGGGAACUGCUGUGGCACCUCUUCCUCCUCUAUCGUGAGGACCAUCUACAUCCACGCCAUGGAGAGGAAGCAAGCCCUGGAGGUUAUGGGUGUCGGGUCCGCCAUGCGACGCCACCAGCCACCCGCACGCCGCAGCUAGCGGCACAACUCCCAGGCGUACGACCACGCACGCAGGUCACAGCACCAGCAGCCCGCUUGGACCAGCCUUGCUAUGCUGCUCUGGACUCGAUUUCGCAUCGCACGACCUAGCCACUAACCCCGUCGCACUCAACCACUGGAGAAAGGUCGAUGGCGAAGCAAGCGGGAGGACGACAUCGAUCGUGUGGAUUCGCGGUGGACUCGCACCGGUUUCUGGACCCUUCUCCAGACCUAUGUCGUCCCGUCCAGAGGGUGACAGGGGGCAGGUUGUGUGAGGGUGGCGUCGGGAAGCAGGCUCGGGGGCGCGUCGGUGAGGACGUUCCGCGGCAAUGGGCCGCGGUCUCAGGAGCGGCGCGGCGUCGGGCCGCGGUCUCGGGAGUGGAGGGAGCGGUUGCUGCACGAGAGGAGCAAAGCAGGAAGAGGUUGCUACGAAGGGAGCGAGCUAGGGUUAAGCUAGGUUGUCGGGGCAGGGGACACACACGGCCAUUGGAUGGUACGGAUGAUGCAGAUUGAUGGGAGGGGGAGGCAGAACGGUAGAACCAGAGGAAGGUAGCCUACCCCUUUAGGUUCUUCACAGUAGUAGAGAUUUUGUCAUAGCUGAAUACGUUUGACUUCUCAGAAGUGAAAAUGGCAGAUAAAAAAGAGAUAGAGGGAGUACACAACAAUGGAUAAGCAGGUAAGCACACCAAGACUUACAUGGGCAAACAUUCAAUCAUCAAUCUUUGGUUGGUAAAAGAGAAUAUGAGUAUUCAUUCAAAGCAGGUAGAACAGGUUGAGCUCGAGGCUACAUAGCAACACAUUGAAAAAAGACAUAGUAGCAACAUUCUACAUUUUACAGAACAGAUCAGCAAUACCUGAACAUAAUUCAUUAGAGGACCAGUCUUCCGAAGCAUCAAACAUAUAACCACCUAAAAAGAUAAAUGGCCUGGCUGAGCUCCAUAGUUCAUCAUAUUGCAACAAGGGAAGGGAAUUGUGAGGCCCCAUGUGAUGGUUAGAAGUAAAAUAAUAUUUUAGAAGUCAUGAAUCCAAAUUUAUCCAUGAUCAGGAAUAAGAGGAGAUGAGGUGAUGGUACUUAUUGAAGUAACCAACUAACAAUGUGCUAUGCGGAUGGUCAGGUUUUAUAAAUGAAAAGGCAAAUACAUUAUUUGUAACAGAAAGAAAGCGAAGGUUACACAAAAUGAAGUUCAUGAACUUGUGAAGUAAAAUGUUCCAAAGAAAUGUGCUAACAAGUGAAUAUAUUUACCUCAACAUCCUCUACCAAGGUUCUCAUAAUAAUGUCAAUUUCACAAGUAAAAGUCUCGCAAGCGAUAAAAGAAAACCUGCAAGAGGUAGACAAGUGAAGUUUGACAAGGGUAAUCAACAAAAUGUAAUAUAUGGCAUGGCAAUGAACAGCAAAUAUCCUCCAUAGCAUACUCGAAAGAUCGUUUCUUCUCUGAAUUCUCAGGAACUUCUUCCACAAUGUAACAAAGUAACUGCGCUACUUAGGCCUUAUCUCGCAAGCUAAAUACAAAAUUUGAACAUUUUAAACAGAGAAACAAACAUACAAUAAGGCGGAGGACAGUUCAAAGCUACACGAUAUGUCAUAUGCAAACAAUUGUAGGAUGUUCACUCCUUGAGACAAAGAAAAAUAAAAGCUUAAAAAGAAAAUGCAAAAACUAAGAGCCUAAUUCAGUUUAACUAAUUUAGCAUACUUGAAAGGCUGUUCCUUGUGCAAGUUUGAAACAGACUAAUAAUAUCAAUGAACAGACUAAUAGUUGCCCAAACUCCCAAAGCCUAACAAGGAUCGAACAACGCCAGCAGUGUCGCAAGCGCUAGGCCAAUAGACAUGUCGGCAUCCACUUCUUGACACAAACUGAAUCCCCUCCCUCUCCCAUGACGGCGCAGCAUAAUCAAUCAAUUAAGAGCGACAAAUCCACGGCGCCAUACGUCCAUACCCAUGUGGUCGCGUCCCCCGGACUACCAUGGGAGACAUGAGACGACGAGGAGUCCGACCGUUCUCCCUCGCAGGUUACGCGCAAAAUCAGGAUCCUAAUCGAGCCUAUCGUCGUACCAAUCACUCGGAUUCUUCGAGGGUGCCAGGUUUCAGACCGAAUUGAGCAGUCUUGUACAAAAAUCGUGCACGGAUUGGGAUCUAGGGCUGCAGGGGAGCGGGGGAAGGGGAAGCAGCAGGCGUACCUGACAUGGCGGCGGUGGGCGAACCUGACAUGGCGUGCGCGUCGUCUCCUCUCGUCAGCUAUACACGGGGGCGCCUAGAGGAAGAACGCAUUCCUCGAUUGUGUCGCGCUCGAGUCGCGUAAGUGGAGCGCAGGGGUGGGAUAGGGGGAAGUCUGUUGACCCAGGGGGAGGAGGUCGUGGGGAGAGCGGUUGCUUGCCAUCCCUGCAGCGCAGGCUUCGGAGGCGGGGCGGUCGGCGCUAGAUCCGGCGCUGAAGACGUCGCCGUGGAGGCAGAGGUGGACGGGAAUGAGGCCACGAAGAAGGAUGCGGAUGCGCGGAGGUGGGCACGGGAGGCAGGGCAGCGACGGCUUGCACAGAGGGGGCGGGAGGCAGGGCGCCGACGGAUGUGGAAGGAGGAGCGAGAGGUAGGUUGCUCACGCGGACAGGGGACUGACGCACGCCGGGCGUGUGCAUCGAACGAUGAAGACAGAGGCGUGGACAUGACAGACGGUGGAGAUUGAUCGAAGGCAGAACAAGUAGAUGGCAGAACGGCAGAACGGCAGACUACUCUUACCUUCUUAAUAAGUAGUAUAGAUAUGAAGUUUGCUGGGCAAAUACUGGGUGGCUUGCUGUGCCGCUCGUGUAGAUCAACAAGGCUGUUAUUGUUAUUAUUCAUUACGCAAACAUGCGUAUCAUUAGCCGACCGAACGACUGCCGGUACGGUCAAAGUUCUGUGGCGUGCUGGUGCUGGUGCUCACUGCUCAGCAGUCGAUGUGGAUACUGUGCCACCCGAAGUCGCCGCAGGCCUGGGUGUCCUCGAACACCUGGUACGGCGUGCCGACGCAGCCGGGCUGGGAGUAGAGCGUGGCCGUCUCGCCCCGGAAGUUGAACUCGUGGCCGCCGUGGAACCGGAGGUGGUUGCAGCCGCACGAGCCCGCGCUCGCGAUGUGCCCCUUCGUCCCCGUCGUGCACCCUGGCCCGCCCCAGGAAGUCAGGUAGCUCCUGGGGCCCGACCCGUCCGAGGCCACCACGCCCGUCGCUGCGGCGACGACUAUGGCGGCGACGGCCACCACGGCUGUGGCAACAAACAUUGUCGCGGCUUGCUUUGAGGCCAUGUCACCCUGCCCUAGCUACUACUACUAGCUAGUGUGCGUGGUGGCCUUGUCUUUAAGUCUUUCUCUUCCGUACGUAUUGUACUGCACUGCAUCGAACGUCUACCGUUGGAGGGAUUUAUAUAGGACAGAGGACCAGAGGAGGGACGUGGUCGAGCUCUCCUAUCUAGCCUAGUACUUGACGGCUGCCUCGGAUUAAUUUGCAUCGUGGAUAUCGAGAGCUGAUUAUAUUGCAGAGGUCAGCACUCACAUACGUGCUUGUGUAACGGAUCAGUUGGCCACCACACCUUCAAACAUGCUCCCUCAGCUCCAAAUCUGUCUCUCAAAGAAUAUACGUAUACUACAGCAACCAUUAUGGCAAUAAUGUCCAUAAAGAAUAAAUCAAUAUGUUUUACUCUCAUUAUUCUCCUUUACAAAGUGCUUCAUGCAUACACCAAACAGCUCAUUGGCCAAUAAUAUGCUGAAGAAGAAACUGUUCGUUUAGUUCAGUCGGCAAGCAGAGGUUAUUUUCUCUCCCGCUGCCUGCUGCUGCGUUCACACUUCAGAGCUUUCUUCUCGGGAGCGUCCAUUGGAAUGUACGGCUGCGGCUCAAGGAGCAUUCACGAGGAAAUCUAUGUACGACGAACGCUAUAUAUAUCUUGUUCUGUUGUUCAUGUCAUACGAGACAGGGAGGGAUGCACGUGACAGGAGAGAAAAAAAACAGUCCAGAAUCAUAGCAAAACUAAGGGUUGUUUGGUUUCUUUAGAGCUGAUUUGAUGACAAGGGAUUUGAAGAGAAUUCACGGAGAGGAAAUCUCUUACUAUUUAAACUCCAAAUCUCUUAUCACCAAAUUAACCUUAGUCAUCAUUGUAAACUUGGACUAAACUUUGUUGUCUAGAAAUCUUAUUUAGGGGUGUUUAGUUCUCACCUCCUAAACUCUAGUGACAAAAAAUUAGUACUUUUUAGUCCCUUAAAUGUCAAACAGAGUGACUGAUAUAAAAUAGAUCUUUCAUAAAGGAUUUUUAGAGACUAAAAUCUACAAGAGUGACUAAAGGAAUCAAACAUCUCGAUCUACACGAGUUUAAUCACUAAAGUUUAUUAUAAGACGAAGUAUAGAAAUAAAGACACGACGACGGGAGGAACCACACGAGCAGGAUGGAUAUAUAGUUUGCGCUGGUCAGCAGUCGAUGUUGAUGCUGCGCCACCCAAAGUCGCCGCACGCCUGGGUGUCCUCGAAAACUUGGUACGGCGUGCCGGUGCAGCCAGUCCCGGUGUAGAGCGUGGCCGUCUCGCCCCGGUAGUAGAACUCCUGCCCGGCGUAGAACGCAAGGUCGGUGCACCCGCACGACCCGACGAUCGACGUAUCCCCCGAGCACCCGGCCGCACUCCACGUCGUGAGGGAGCUCGGGGCACCCGACGCGUCCUUCGCCGCGACGCCUGCGACGGCCACCGCCAUCAGGACGGCGACGACGACGACGGCCGUCGCUAUUGCCGUGGGAAUCGCUCUGCACUUUCUUCCGGCCAUAGCUAGUAGUGUAUGUGUGUGACGUGGAACCGGAGUGACUGCGGAGCACCUGUGAUGUCUUGAUUAUUAGUUGGUAGUAUUGCGCGGCAUCCGACGCCGUCUUAUAUAAUCUGCAGAUUUGUAGGCGAGCUCCCACGCAUCCAUUUGAGGUGUACCGGCGUUUGUCAUCGGCUAGUAGUUCGUAGUUCGGUGCCGCCGGGCGCCGGCUGUAAUUAGUCCGAGCGGAGUUCCCAAGAUGGUUGUCUGGUGCUCCCAGUCCCAGGUCCCAGCCGACGGUCGCCGGCAGAGCUGAUCCAACUCUGGUUGCCAAGAAACAGACGGUCCACAUGCAUGCAAAAGGGUCGAAAAAACAAAUCCAAUCCAACCCAUGCACUUGUUGCCGACGCUUUAUUCCACUGCCCUCGGUUGGAGCCUCCUUUCGACACCGGUCCCAAAAGCCAAGAUGCCCCCGCGCGGCCGCGCCGCGCGCCACGUACUCCUACCGCUACCGGCACGGCGCCGUCGCCUCCACCCCUGCCCUCCAGCUCCAGGCUCCAGCCUCUAACCACCAGCUCAGCUUUGCACGGCGCCUCACAUGGGCUCGUACGCCUCGCCUCGUCAGCCGGACGCUCCGCAGCGACAGGUCGCCACUGGCUCACUAACGUAAUCCACUAAUCCCUCCACUAGCUAGCUUGCCUCAGCUCUUUUCUAAUCGGCGGCCGUGGCGUCUGAGCCCUGAGUCAGCUACACGCCCUCGUGCGCUCCUCCCGCCACUCAUCGGCGGAAAGCGCGCACGGCCACGGGCACCGGAACCUCAAAAGCGAGGGUGUGGUGAUGCCAUAACUAGGACCGCGCGCACAUGCUGGCAUGCAUCCAUGUCCAGGAUAUGCAACGACGCAAGGAUCAUCCCACAUCCACAUCCACAUCCAAGCAUGGCCGGCGUUGUCUUUUUGGUGCGUGUAUAUUAACCCGCGGGCCGUCGUUCUUGCGGCUAUCCGCACACUGAAUCACGAAUCUCUCGAGCCGCAGUCCAGUCCAUCCGGCUGCAGGCUCUCUGCUGAUUCUGAGUACGUUGGCGUUCCAGGCGAUAGCUAGCUUAGCUUGGCUUGGCACAGUCGAUCGUCUCCGAUGGCGGCGGACAUGCAGAUUGUCCUGGCCGCGGGGAGGAAGAUCGAGGCGCAGUAUGUGGAGAUGAAGGUGCCGCUCUACUCCUACGGCUGCGAGAAGAAGAUCAAGAAGGCACUGUCACAUCUCAAAGGUGCUUAGACGAUCGAUCUUAAUCUGUGUGUGUGUAUCGUCAAGUGAAAAUCAGGCUAACAUCCUGCUUCUCGGACAUGUUUGUGCUGCAUUGCAGGUAUACAUUCGGUUCAGGCAGACUACCACGAGCAGAAGGUGACCGUGUGGGGGAUCUGCGACCGCGACGACGUGCUCGCUGCCGUCCGGAAGAAGCGCCGAGCCGCGCGGUUCUGGGAUGAUGAUGGCGGCGAACUGGGUCCACGCGAGCGUGCGCCGACGCCCGGCCGAGAAGCUCCCAAGCAGUACCUGGCAGCCUUCGCCGCGUACAGGUGGAGGAAGUCGUGGAAGAAGCUUUUCCCGCUGAUCCGCCUCUGAAGCUCACCGUGUGUGCUUAAGCUUAUUGGCUUCUAGCUUCUCCACAAGUGAGCAGUGUGUGUGCCUGCGUCUUGACGACGUCUCAGGAACCGGAAAAAGGGGUUGGAACAUGGAACUUAAGUUCUAACAGUAGCCCGUGCUUCUUGGUAGCAAAUAAACAUGCUUCGUUACCGAAGCCUUUUGGUAGGGCUUUGCCUUGUCUAGGGGGCGUUUGGUUGCCUUCUCCGGUGGUGCAGCUGCAUCUACACAUGCAAAAAGUAGUGUUUGUUUGGUUCGUUGUAUCGCACGAGACAGGCUAGCACGGAACUUAAAGCGCCGCGAGCCAGGCCCGGCAGAAACGCAUCGCGCGGCCGCACGCGCGCCGCCAGGCUCCGCUCAGCCAGCUCUUUACUCGUGCACGCAUAUCGAGACACGUUUUUAAUUGGUUUUUUCAUUAUAUCGUCUAAUUAAAAGAUUUAAUCACCGAACCGAUUUCAUAUCCGCGUUCCUGACAUUUUUGCGAACGAAACUAGACCACUCAUACUAUAUAUAUUUCAAAUAAAAAAAUUACGUGAUUAAGAUUAAUAUAUAAUUAGUGUAUAUUAACAUGUAAUUAGUAUCUAUUAAGCAAUUUACCAUAUAAUUAGUGUCUAUUAAUAGAUUUUUUAAUUUAUUUAACAAUUUUUUAACUCAUGCACCAUGUACUCAUGCAAGCAACCAAACAACAUCUCUUGUGAACCAGACUGGCCACAUACACACAACCAAACACGCUAUACUGCAUGCACUCAGCCAGUCCAGUCUGAGCCAGGCUCACUAGAUACGAGCCAGGCUCACCCAUACAAGUAACCAAACGCCCCCCUAAGAACGGAAAAUCUAACAAAAAAAAAACUAUAUUUUUCUUUGGCUUCAGCUUCUAAGCCAAAAUUAAACGGCUUUAUCUUCAUUGCUUUUUGUCUGGUUUUGGCUUAACAAACCAUUUUUAUACGCGAGAUGUUUCUAGCCACAUAAGUUAUUAUAGGUAAAGCCUUCGUAUAAAAGAAGUGCCUAAGAGGACAGACUUGUGAAAUCACAUUGAAGUGUCAUUUGCACGGAACAAUGAGGCCCAACUAGGCACUAGUCCAUCGAUGUGCUUUUGCAGGAAUCUAGAGAGGGACCGGAAAUUAGAGCUAUUCUUCUAGGCAUUUUUCUAAUAGUCAUCUUUUGUGUUAUUUUUUGUUAGAAGUUAGUUGUCUAAGUAAAGUGUAUUGUCGGUCCUCAAAAUUGAGACGAUGUGCCACUUAAGCCCCCAACACAAAAAACCAGGAAAACGGUUUCUAGAAUUUUGUCAGUCCAUGCAGAACCGUCCAAAGUUGAGUUUGUAAAACCGGAUGUCGACGUACCAAUAUCAUGUCAGAGCCAAUUGUGACCCUGAACUUGAUACGUUGUGUUAUUUGUGUCCCGAACUUGGAUGUUGUGUCGCUUGGGUCCUAUAACUUUUAUUAGUGUGCUCUAAUAUGGCACACCACAUCAACAUUCGAUUUACAUGUUACAAAUAUACAUCUUUAUCUUGUAUACCUUUAAUAUCAUGUAGUAGUGACAAUCUUUAAAUAUCCCACCUCCAUGGCAAAAGUUGCUCACCCUAUAGUGUAUCUGUGGACUAACUCUUGUGUAUCUCAACACAAAAACAUAUUAGUCCACCUAAAUUGUCACUCAUUCAACAAAAUAAAGCAAGGACCUUUCAAUCUCCCCUUAUUGGUAAUUGAUGACAAUUAUACAAACAAAGGAAAACUAAGCAAAUUUCAAGGUAGCACUUCACAAUAGCGUAAAUUGCUAACUUGGUUUGGAUAUUAGGUCACCGAUCCAGCUUUGUAAUUAUGAUUUGAAUAAACAUCAUAAAACUUGAUUUAGAAGUGAUAAUUUCCCCUACAUGUGUGCUUUAAUGAUUUAGAUUCAAGCUUACACACAUGCAUGAGUGUACAUGCAUGAGUAUGUACAUAGUAAUGAUGUGUCAUGCCACCUUAGAGCACACUAAUGUAAGUUUGGGGAUCCAAGUCCCAAGUGACACAACAUUCAAGUUUGAGAAACCAAGUGAUACAACAUGUCAAGUUCAGGGUCCUAAGUGGCUCUGAUGCUCUGAUGUGGCAUGCCACGUCGUCAUCCGAUUUUGCAAACCCGACUUUAAACGGUUUUGUAUGGACCGAUAAAGUUUCACGACACAUUGUUCUUGUUUUCUGUGUUGGGUACCUAAGUGACACAGCGAGUCAGGUUUGAGUACCGCUAGUGCAGUUUACUCUAAUUAUUUAGACAAGGCUAGUUGGCGCUAAAAAUUAAUCAACAACUAGUUCAAGAAUUAGUAAAAAGUUAACCGCCAAAUCUCAUCGGAACGUAAGAUAAAGAGGAAUAAAGAGGAUAGUAGAUGUACUUUGAUUUAUUGGAUGUUGGAUAAACGAUCAUGACCCUCCUAUGUAGAGAGAGGGAAUAGUCUUGUCACUACUUCAAAAUUUGUUCUAAAGUCAAUUUAAAACGAAUCAAUUUGAAAACCCAACAAAAUUCGGUCUGACGGCUACUAAAAGCGUCUAGACCAGGUUUUGUGGAGAAAUAGGCGCUCUAGCCGAUUGUAAUAAACCGAUCUGGUCGAGUUUCGAUAGCCAGAUCUAUUUUAUCAAGGUCUAUAUCACUUCUUCUUUUCUUUAUCCAGUAUAUUUUUAGAUGGCAACACAAACAGUGACACAUCAUUGGAUAUUAGUAUAUUACGCACGGAGUACAUAAUUGGAGAUGCCCUCAACAGUCCGCAUCAGUGACUACCUAUCGAGAAGUAUCCAGAUACUAUUUCUCAGCGGUGAAACCGUGAAGGUGACGCAUCAUAUUGGCAUUGUUGUAAAGCAAAAAGGUAUGGCACCGCGCAUUAUCCAGACACGUACGAGCUCAAGAAAAUGUCAAAGGAAAGUUUUUUCCAUGGUCCAUGUUAUCAAAAAUAUUUACACCAAAUGAGGGCCUCAAAGGCAGAACUAAUUGAUCCUUUACAGCACCGUGUAGUAUAGCCAAUAGAAAUCAACAGACAAAAGGAAAGCGAGAAACACACCGUGGAUCACUGGUCAACCUACAGUAUCUACUACUAGCUGCCUCAAGCGCAGGCUAGUGGGUGGGCGGCCAUGGCGGGCAGUAGGCUGAAACCCCUGAGAAAAAUGGAGCCAAUAAUCAGACUCGGGUGGUAACGUGGAGGGCGUGCGGCGGCGGCGGCGGGGGCAGAGGCGGCGGCACGAAGGGGAGGCUCCGCAGCAUGAGGAAGCGCAUCCGGCGCGGGAACGGCGCGUCGUUGAGCAGCUGCUCCAGCACCCGCGCCACCAGCGCGGUGUACUCCUCGAGCAGCUCCGCCACUAUCGCCACAAGAAUCAUCGCUGCUAGCUGCAAGGAAGGAAAUGAAACUGCUUCCACUUCCGCUGGGAUUGGAUUGGUCUUGUAUCGCGGACUGGGAAUUUUGGAUGUGGACUUGCAUCGUCGUCCGGUCGAGGCUUUUAAAAGGGGGUCGGGAUUGGGGAGGAAGAUGAGAUGAGGUGGGGGAACCUGGACUCCUUGCGUGUCGUGUCGCGUCCCGUGGGCAGCGCGCCCUGGUUUGAUGUGACCCGGGGGCGGCUGCCGUUGGGUCCCGCGAGGCGCGCUGCUGGUAUGCGCUAGAAACCGAGGGAAGGAAUGGUUCGGUUCGCUUUCGCGCGUCGGGCCGCUGGUUAGGGAGUCCAGAAAC
Molecule: long non-coding RNA, 30404 nt
Filed under: Zea mays
Lineage: Eukaryota; Viridiplantae; Streptophyta; Magnoliopsida; Poales; Poaceae
Description: long non-coding RNA (ZMAY_LNC000712)
Source: RNAcentral